Molecule: ribosomal RNA, 910 nt
Filed under: uncultured bacterium
Lineage: Bacteria
Description: bacterial SSU rRNA
Rfam family: Bacterial small subunit ribosomal RNA
Source: RNAcentral
AGAGUUUGAUCCUGGCUCAGAUUGAACGCUGGCGGAAUGCUUUACACAUGCAAGUCGAACGGCAGCACGGGGCAACCUGGUGGCGAGUGGCGAACGGGUGAGUAAUACAUCGGAACGUGCCCAAUCGUGGGGGAUAACGUAGCGAAAGUUACGCUAAUACCGCAUACGAUCUACGGAUGAAAGCGGGGGAUCGCAAGACCUCGCGCGAAUGGAGCGGCCGAUGUCAGAUUAGGUAGUUGGUGGGGUAAAGGCUCACCAAGCCAACGAUCUGUAGCUGGUCUGAGAGGACGACCAGCCACACUGGAACUGAGACACGGUCCAGACUCCUACGGGAGGCAGCAGUGGGGAAUUUUGGACAAUGGGCGCAAGCCUGAUCCAGCCAUUCCGCGUGCAGGAUGAAGGCCUUCGGGUUGUAAACUGCUUUUGUACGGAACGAAACGGCGAGCUCUAAUACAGUUUGCUAAUGACGGUACCGUAAGAAUAAGCACCGGCUAACUACGUGCCAGCAGCCGCGGUAAUACGUAGGGUGCAAGCGUUAAUCGGAAUUACUGGGCGUAAAGCGUGCGCAGGCGGUUAUAUAAGACAGAUGUGAAAUCCCCGGGCUCAACCUGGGAACUGCAUUUGUGACUGUAUGGCUAGAGUACGGCAGAGGGGGAUGGAAUUCCGCGUGUAGCAGUGAAAUGCGUAGAUAUGCGGAGGAACACCGAUGGCGAAGGCAAUCCCCUGGGCCUGUACUGACGCUCAUGCACGAAAGCGUGGGGAGCAAACAGGAUUAGAUACCCUGGUAGUCCACGCCCUAAACGAUGUCAACUGGUUGUUGGGUCUUCACUGACUCAGUAACGAAGCUAACGCGUGAAGUUGACCGCCUGGGGAGUACGGCCGCAAGGUUGAAACUCAAAUGAAUUGACGG